Molecule: transfer RNA, 74 nt
Filed under: Lactococcus nasutitermitis
Lineage: Bacteria; Bacillati; Bacillota; Bacilli; Lactobacillales; Streptococcaceae
Also listed under: 1 other name
Description: tRNA-Asn
Rfam family: tRNA
About the family: Transfer RNA (tRNA) molecules are approximately 80 nucleotides in length.
Source: RNAcentral
UCCGGCAUAGCUCAGUUGGUAGUAGCGCAUGACUGUUAAUCAUGAUGUCGUAAGUUCGAGUCUUACUGCCGGAG